GCCUUCGUGGUGUAGUGGUCAGCACGCUCGACGCGAGAGGUCCGUGGUUCGAUUCCCGGCGAAGGCG
This 67-nucleotide transfer RNA is filed under the name Stegodyphus mimosarum. It matches the Rfam family "tRNA". From Rfam's summary of the family: Transfer RNA (tRNA) molecules are approximately 80 nucleotides in length. Lineage: Eukaryota; Metazoa; Arthropoda; Arachnida; Araneae; Eresidae. The record is from Rfam by way of RNAcentral.